This 253-nucleotide ribosomal RNA is filed under the name uncultured bacterium. RNAcentral describes it as "partial 16S ribosomal RNA". It matches the Rfam family "Bacterial small subunit ribosomal RNA", at positions 524 to 776 of the family's 1533-position model. The record is from RNAcentral.
UACAGGGGGUGCAAACGUUGCUCGGAAUCAUUGGGCGUAAAGCGCACGUAGGCGGAUUGCUAAGUCAGGGGUGAAAUCCUGGAGCUCAACUCCAGAACUGCCUUUGAUACUGGUGAUCUUGAGUCCGGGAGAGGUGAGUGGAACUGCGAGUGUAGAGGUGAAAUUCGUAGAUAUUCGCAAGAACACCAGUGGCGAAGGCGGCUCACUGGCCCGGUACUGACGCUGAGGUGCGAAAGCGUGGGGAGCAAACAGG